Heterocephalus glaber (naked mole-rat) is the source of this 2590-nucleotide long non-coding RNA. RefSeq lists it as uncharacterized. NCBI's taxonomy places the organism in Eukaryota, Metazoa, Chordata, Mammalia, Rodentia, Bathyergidae. The record is from RefSeq and is a predicted model, not a curated record.
AACAGCAGUGGAAGCAAAAGAGAAAGAGAGAGCUGCUGUACUGGACUAUUCUGCAAGUUCCAUCCCAGAACGGAACCUUGUUGCGGCGAGCGUUGCUUCCCAAUCUGACAGUCUUGCUAUGUAGCCCAGACUGGCCUUGAACUCACAGUGAUUCUCCUGCCUCAGUCUCCAGAGCGACAGGAUUACUUGCAUGCACCACCACACCCAGCUAAGACUUUAUGAAAAUGUUAUUUUCACCUUCUGGGAUAAAGCCCUAAGAGUGGAAUUGAUGAGAGGUGAAUGCGUCAACUUUUACAUCUACUAGGUUAUAAGUCAUUACAAUGCUUCCUUUGUUUGCCCAGCAGCUGUAGUUUAGAUUCACACUCAGGCAGUCCCUUCUGAGUCCAUGUUGUAAACCAUGAAGCAAAGGUCCUAAGGUAGCAUAAGACCUCCAGUCUCACCACUAGCUUAGUGUGAAACUCCUAGGAAAGAUGUAACUGUCGGGUACUUCUGUGCCAUGUAUUAAGAGAUAGAAUACUUAAUAGCUAUGUCAUUCAAAUUCUCAGAGACCAGAACCUAGAUUUGUAAACCUAUGAAGUAUAAACACUUAACUGCACAACUUAGUUAAACCCACUACUAUAAAUUGAUUAGGCAGCAACUCAUUUUACUUGCUUUCUGAAAAUGAGUGCUCUUGAGAUCAAGGCCCAUCCCAAUGAUAUUCUAGGAAGGAUAUCUGCCAGACUGUGAAAAUAGUUACCGUGCAGUUAUAAACAUUUCCGAAUACUCACUGUGUGUGCCUGGUACUGUGCUAGUAGCUGGUGUUAUAAACUGAAUUGUGCCCCACCCCCAAAAAAUAUAUUUGUUGAAUUCAUUCAUACCUUGGCAUGGGACUGUAUUUGGAAAUAGGGUCUUUUUUUUUUUUUGGUACCGGGCAUUGAAAUCGGGUCCUUGCGCUUGGGUAGCAGGCGGCGAAACCACUGAGCUAAAUCCCCGGCCCUGGAAAUAGGGUCUUUAUGGAGAUAAUCGAGUUAAACUGAGGUUUAAUCAGGUUUAAACUGAAAACUUAAUCCAAGAUGGCUGGUGUUCUUAGAAGAUGGGAAAUUGGGACAAAAUCAGGCAGGCACAGAGGGAAGACAAUGUGAAGAUACCACUGACAAGCCAAGGCAAAAGUCUGGAACCUUCCCUCAUAUCCUUUAAAAGGAACCAACCCUGCCAAUGCCUUCAUUUGGGACAUCUGGUCUCCAGGACUUUGAGACAUUGCAGGCCGCUUGCCCGGCGUGGUUCUGUGUGGUUCAAGAGAGAUUGGUUAUAAGGCAGUGGUCCUUUCUCUGAAGUCGCCAAUACAUUUUAACAACAACAGUAUCAUCAGAAAAAUACGCUCCACAAACUCACUGGCAUCCUACUGCCUCACCCUGCUGAUUGCUGAGAUUACAGAUGUGAGCCACUACGCCUGACCUCACUUUAUUUUUGAAAUUUGUUCUAUUUUUAUAUAUGAAUUUGGGCUUCUUCUGCAAUUCAUAUAGAUGAUUCCCAGUUUGUUUCUUUCUGAAGAACAAUUAGGCUAGUUCCAGCCCUGCAACAAUCAGUAGGUUCUUACAGAGGUGUUCACUGUUGCUGGGAUGGAACCUAGGGCCUCACCAUUCCCAACCCUCGAUAACCUGUUGCUGUAAGAGCUAAACUACUCCCCGAGACCAGGGCAGUGCCCUGGGAGCUGACUGUCUUCCUGGGGCUCCACCGUCUCUACACCGCCACUCUGGGACCGAGAUUCCAGCACAUAGGAGAACACACCAUGCCCACACACAGCAUCAGGUUAAAUAUGUCAUCGAAACCAAUUGGAUCUAUUUCAUUUUACUUUUUUAUGUGGCCACCAGGAAAUUAAAAACCAGUGAUCGUAUGUGUAUGGAGGACAGCACUGGUGAAGAACUCCAAGGAGACACGAAUUCCCUGUGGUGGCCAGCAGUUGGCUGUCCCAUGGCAGCACGCCCUCUGGCUUCUUGAGGCCGCUCCCUAAACAGAAGACAGCCCAGGAGAAGCUGGCCACCCUUUUGGAAGAGGAACAAGGCUGCUGUCUCAUUUUUGCCCACAGGUGGAAUCUGCUUAGUCUUACUUUUGGAUGCUGCCUUUAGGGUUUAAUUUGUUUCAAAUUAACACCAGGUGGCAGAUGCAAUUAAAAGGGAAAGUCACAAAUUUAGCAUGGUAUUUUGAACUUCCUUAUUUAUGGUGGCAGUUACACAUUCAGGGAAUUAAUGCUAAUUAUUUUGAAUUAUUUGUUUAUGCAUUGUGUUGGUGUUUGCCUUGUACUAAUUAAUGCUCCACAACUUAUGCUACAUCCUCUGUGACUAAUUAAUCAAACCAAAAUGCCAGACUAGUGAUCCUGAAGUGAAGGAGGCACUUUCAAAAGAUUCUCUCGGGGGCCCCAUCACUUCCCCCAGGUUUGUGGCCCACCCUGCCCUGGAAUUGCUGCUGUCCAGAGUCACUGUUGCUAAACCUUCCAGUGCCUUAGGACAGAACAAGUGGUGAUAAUGACAGAGACAUUUGGGUGCUCUGGGCUACAUAGUGAACUCAAGGACAGCCUGAACUACAUGGUGAGACCCUGUUUUUAAAAAAAAAG